This 1842-nucleotide long non-coding RNA is filed under the name Anser cygnoides (Swan goose). Its description in RNAcentral is "lncRNA (ENSACDG00005000387.1)". Lineage: Eukaryota; Metazoa; Chordata; Aves; Anseriformes; Anatidae. The record is from RNAcentral.
ACCUGUCGUUCCGGACCUGGCUCUGGCUGAACCCCGGUGAACUUCCCCUGCAUCCCCUUCCCUGCCGGCGAGCUUGCAGCCGUGAACUUCCCGUGCCCGACCCGAGCAUCUCCGAGAGGUGUGAUCCAAGCCGUGGCGGUAAGGCUGCAGCCAGAGGAAGGAGAUUGCCGGCCCGCCCCUGGCUCCUGCUCAGCCUCCCUAAUCAACGGAGGAAUGUCUCUGGACGCGAGUGCUCCUGGAUAAGCUGCUCUGUGCACCGCUUGGCUUCGUGAGCGCUUCCUUCGUGAGCCAUCUGUGGGGGUCACGCCGGGCAAAGCACGCCGCGUGCCCCGACGGAUCGGCGUGUCUUGGCGCAGUGGGGCCAGCAGCGGUCCUGUGGCCCGGCAGGAGGAUGCACAGGGUGGCUCAGUCCUGCCUUGCCAUGGGGCCCUUGUGCAUUGUGUGAGAGCAGUAACCCUCAGUGGGGGUGCCGUGGGCCAUGCCCAGCCUGCAGAAACGAGUAUGUGGCAACGAGGACUGGGAGCAAAGGGGACGUCGUGCAGAAAGCUCUUCUUGAUUUGGUCUAUCACCACCAUUGUGAGAUACACUGGAAUAAUUGCCCAUCUGACGACAGGAAAACAUGCAAGCCCUUGGAAGUGGAACUUGCUUUAUACAUAUGAGAAUGGAGCAAGCAAUGCUUCCAAUAAAAGAAUUGUGAAACUAUUCCCAUCGGUGGCCUGUCCUCUACCCACAAUGGUGAUGGAGAAGACUGUUGGAUUUCCAUCAGGAGAACAAUUUGAGUGUGGACUCUACUGCCACAAAUUUAAGAAAGCUCUCCAGUUGCUGCUUGCCAAAGAAACAGGUGAUUUUUUUUUCUUUUUUUUUUUUUUUGAGAUAUUGACCAGUAAACAUGGGAAUCAACUUCAUCUGAAAUGCUUGUGUCUUAAUAUUUGUGUGACUUUCCUUCCUGCUCUAUGACUUGUUGAUUAUUUUUGAGUGCUCUAGGGCUUAAAGCAUAGUCUAUGACUGUACUAGUAUUUGUAACCUGCUGAUGUGCUCCAAGAAAAUGGGUGAGACCCAUUUUGGUGGCAGGUCUGUCAUAGGGAAGGUGUUGAACGUGGAUGUUGAGGUGCCGUGCUGUUGAUCAAACCAUUCUUAGGGAUGAAUCAACAGUGCUGUGACUUAAAGACGGAUGUAUGUCCAGGGUGAAGACCACAUUAUCAUUUAAGAAAACACUUUUCAAGUGAACCAGAAAAGCAGUGAGCAAAUGCUGGGUGAUGUGUUCAAUCCAUCCUGGAAGCAUAAUGCCAUUCCUGGACAUGGUUCUUGGUCAUGUAAAGCCAACACUUGGGCAUGCAAUUGCAUUUCUGAGAAAGAAGACAUUUUUUCCAUUAUCUUCCGAUCCAAAUGUACUCAUCUGACAAGUGAAAUUAAGUUUUAUUUUUCUGUUCCUGCUCCCAUGCUUGUGUUUGAGGCUUCCAGCCCUCAGCUACAUUUUUGCAGGCAUCUUUAAUGAGGUUGUGGAGAUGUCACUGGUAUGGCCAUGGCUUGGGUGGCAUGGAGCUCUGGAAGAACGUGAGCAGAAAGGGCUGUUUCUGCAAAGAAGGGAAAACAGCCUGGACAUAGGACAGCUGUGGUUCUGGGGCUGGAAGGCUGCAUGCAGAGCCAGAGGCAAGGCCUGACCUCUGCGUGCUGAGAUGAAAGCAAAUGUUGGUGUUUUGUGUUUGUCCCCAUCUAUGAGCAUGUGUAUAGUCUCAUGCCAUGGCUCAGCUGACAUGUGACAUCUUGCUCUGCUGUUUGAAGGUCUGAGUCUUCAAAUAUUAAAAAAGAAGAUAAAUGAAUAAAAGAAAACAAAAACAAGCA